RNAcentral lists this ribosomal RNA (253 nucleotides) under uncultured bacterium. RNAcentral describes it as "partial 16S ribosomal RNA". It matches the Rfam family "Bacterial small subunit ribosomal RNA", at positions 524 to 776 of the family's 1533-position model. The record is from RNAcentral.
UACGGAGGGUGCGAGCGUUGUCCGGAUUUAUUGGGUUUAAAGGGUGCGUAGGUGGCCCGGUAAGUCAGUGGUGAAAUACAGCCGCUCAACGGUUGAGGUGCCAUUGAUACUGUCGGGCUUGAAAGAAUUGGAGGCUGCCGGAAUGGAUGGUGUAGCGGUGAAAUGCAUAGAUAUCAUCCAGAACACCGAUUGCGAAGGCAGGUGGCUACGAUUGAUUUGACACUGAGGCACGAAAGCAUGGGGAGCAAACAGG